UACGUAGGGAGCAAGCGUUGUCCGGAAUUAUUGGGCGUAAAGAGCUCGUAGGCGGCCUGUUGCGUCCGCUGUGAAAGCCCGGGGCUUAACCCCGGGUCGCAGUGGAUACGGGCAGGCUAGAGGUAGGUAGGGGAGAAUGGAAUUCCCGGUGUAGCGGUGAAAUUCGUAGAUAUUGGGAAGAACACCGGUGGCGAAGGCGGCGAGCUGGUCCAUUACUGACGCUGAGGCGCGACAGCGUGGGGGAGCAAACAGG
This 253-nucleotide ribosomal RNA is filed under the name uncultured bacterium. RNAcentral's name for it is "partial 16S ribosomal RNA". It matches the Rfam family "Bacterial small subunit ribosomal RNA", at positions 524 to 776 of the family's 1533-position model. The record is from RNAcentral.